Molecule: long non-coding RNA, 2030 nt
Filed under: Capsicum annuum
Lineage: Eukaryota; Viridiplantae; Streptophyta; Magnoliopsida; Solanales; Solanaceae
Description: long non-coding RNA (CANN_LNC000633)
Source: RNAcentral
CCGUCUGUUUAACCGAUGAGGCAUGUAUUACAACAGAUGGAUGACAUGUUGCAACAGAUGGUUCAUCUAUUGGAAUAAAUCAAACCAACCUUGCUACUGGUUUGACAAACAGUAUCUCCAUCUAUACAAAAGGGUAACACAAAAUUAACUGAAUCAACAGAUGACCAAUAUAAUACAACAGAUUAUCCAUCUGUUCAAUCGAUGAGGCAUUUGUUGUAACAAAUAGAUGAUAUGUUGCAAGAGUUGGGUCAUCUGUUGGAAUAAAUCAAACCAUCCUUGCUACUAGUUUGAUUUCUUCAAACAGUUGCUCCGUCUGUUCCAACAGUUGAUUCAUCAAUUGCAACGGUUAAGGAAACUGUUGCAACACCACCAACAACAGCAUCAAUAUCAAAGAAAUAAUACAAUAUGUUCCAACACCAUGAACAACACAAACACCACAUGUUCCAACACGACCACCACCCCCAGCAAUAGCACCACCAAAGUUAUAAAUAAAAGGCAUAAAAAAAUCUAUACUGACAGCAAGGCUUUUUAAGUUCUCCCAAUAGAUGACUUUUUUCGCAUAUUUUAAUAAAAUAACGGUUCGUUCAUUCAAGACUUAAAAGUAACCUUUUCUUCAAUUUUCUCAAUAAAUAGAAAACUGGUAAUGGAUAAAUCAUUAAUAGAAACAGAUGUAAAUAUCUAAUUUAAAUGACAUACAAAGAAGAAGAUGAGAUGGAACGAGCAAUAGUGAACCAUACCUGCAAUGUCAGAAAAGCAAAGGGAGCAAAACAUCUAGUUUAGUCGAGAAUAUAUAUUCAUCGGUUGAGAUUCGAAAGGAUCCUCAUUUGAAAGAAGAGAGAAAAUAGAGAAAAAAGGAAAGAAAGAGAAUUAAAAAUAAAAAAGAGAGAUAGAUGUGUAUAGUCUUACUUUAUAACUGAAGCAGAGAGUAUUCUAGGUAUGAAUUUUAAAUAUUUAUUAAUAACUUUUGAGGUACAUGAGGAGACGGUGACAUUGAAAAAACCAGAUAAGACUACUCACUCAGGAGAUUUUUGAGUUAUCCAAGUAAUAUUUUUUACCGCAUUAGUAUUUUAUCUUUUUUAUCUCAGACAGAAAAUACCUAAAUUGCUUUAAAAAAAAGAUCUUAAAACAUCUAAGUAUAACAGAUGACAAUUUCUGUUUGAAAAUUUCCAAAGCUCGGUCAUCUGUAGUAACAAAUAGCUGCAUUGUUUGAUAAUUUAUAACAAAUGAGUAAUAUGUUGCAACCGAUGACUUAAUCUAUUUGAUUAAAUCCAACAAAAAAGAUAUCUGUUGCAACAGAUUGAACAUUUGUUUUAAACAAUUUCAAUUGAGUUUAUAUGUUCAACUAAUACCUUAAUUGAAUAAUCUAGGACUAGGGGUUAGUUAUCAUAGGGUCAACUAUAGCUUUAAUAUCAUUUUUUGGCAAUUGCAUGAUGAGACGAUAUUGCGUUCCUCCCAACCAGAGUCAUUGAUCGGUCACUCUGAGCUUAAUCAAUUCUUAUUACCUCAUAUGUUUAACUAAUAUCUUAAUUGAUUAAUCUAGGACUAGGGGUGAGUUCUCAUAGGGUCAACUAGAACAAAUGGCAGUGCCUAUUUGAUAAUUUACAAUAGAUGGAUAAUUUGUUGCGACAUAUGACUUAAUCCAUUUGAUAAUGUCACGAGCCAAACUACUAGACUGUGAGGGCACCUACGCUAUUCUAAGUAUCUAGGAGAACCCUUACUACCUAACUAAAAGUAUGCAGAAGACUUCCGCAUAUUUUUAGCGGGGUAAUAAGGGUUCUCCUAACUACUUAGAAUAGUGUAGGUGCCCGCACGGUCUAGUAGUUUGGGUCGUGACCAUUGGUAUCAAAGCUUUUCAAAAUACGAAGAUACAGAGUCAACUAUUUACAUACAAAUCUAUUCUCCUUUCAACGGCCUAAGUCUGAAACUUAAGUUUCACGAAAGUAAGAUAAAAAUGGUUAAAAGUGUCACCUUGAUGAAGACAAACAUCCAAAAGCACCUCUUUUUCACUACCGAAGCUCCAAAGUCCCGAA